Melospiza melodia melodia is the source of this 371-nucleotide long non-coding RNA. RefSeq lists it as uncharacterized. The record is from RefSeq and is a predicted model, not a curated record. NCBI's taxonomy places the organism in Eukaryota, Metazoa, Chordata, Aves, Passeriformes, Passerellidae. The transcript is spliced from 3 exons.
CGAGUGCUGGGUGCUACUGAUUUGGGUCAUCUGCAUGCAAUUCAAAAGAAAAAGGGAUCUUGGAGUUUCUGGCAGAUAUUCCUCAGGCUGGAAUCCAGACAACUUGUCUGAGCACAGAGAAAAUAGUUGCCUUCAGUCCUCAAAAUAUUAGGAAAAGACACUGUAUUUGCUGCUCCUUGGAUAAAAGCAUCCCUAAUGGUCAAGAAGACAGAGUAAUGAAGACCUUCCAUCUGUAGAGAAACAACAGAAUAUUUAUUGACCUGCUGUAAAAUCACAACCAUUGACAAUAUUAAGUAUUUUGUAACUUAGCCAGUAAAUUUAAUCUCAACACAUUUACUUUGGUUAAGCCAGAGAAAAGUACUUUUCUCUUA